Molecule: unclassified non-coding RNA, 326 nt
Filed under: uncultured fungus
Lineage: Eukaryota; Fungi
Description: sequence contains ITS1
Rfam family: 5.8S ribosomal RNA (bases 1-105)
Source: RNAcentral
GAAAUGCGAUAAGUAAUGUGAAUUGCAGAAUUCAGUGAAUCAUCGAAUCUUUGAACGCACCUUGCGCCUUUUGGUAUUCCGAAAGGCAUGCCUGUUUGAGUGUCAUGAAAUCUCAAUCCCCCCGGGUUUAUGAUCUGGGUUGGGACUUGGACUUGGGUGCUGCCGGUUACAUGGCUCGCCUCAAAUGACUUAGUGGAUCUCUCUGCAUCUGUGACAGACGUAAUAAGUUUCGUCUUGUCCCUUGCUGUCUGAGUCUGCUCCUAACCUGCCAUCGUGCACUUUUAGACUCUGACCUCAAAUCAGGUAGGACUACCCGCUGAACUUAA